Molecule: ribosomal RNA, 350 nt
Filed under: uncultured bacterium
Lineage: Bacteria
Description: bacterial SSU rRNA
Rfam family: Bacterial small subunit ribosomal RNA
Source: RNAcentral
GGACCCGCACAAGUAGUGGAGCAUGUGGUUUAAUUCGAAGAUACGCGCAGAACCUUACCAACACUUGACAUGUUCGUCGCGACUUUAAGAGAUUAAAGUUUUCGGUUCGGCCGGACGAAACACAGGUGCUGCAUGGCUGUCGUCAGCUCGUGUCGUGAGAUGUUGGGUUAAGUCCCGCAACGAGCGCAACCCUCACUUUUAGUUGCCAUCAUUAAGUUGGGCACUCUGAAAGAACUGCCAGUGAUAAGCUGGAGGAAGGUGGGGAUGACGUCAAGUCCUCAUGGCCCUUACGUGUUGGGCUACACACGUGCUACAAUGGUAUUUACAACAGGAAGCAAGUUCGCGAGGAC